AUUGAACGCUGGCGGCAUGCCUUACACAUGCAAGUCGAACGGCAGCACGGGAGCAAUCCUGGUGGCGAGUGGCGAACGGGUGAGUAAUAUAUCGGAACGUGCCCAGUAGUGGGGGAUAACUGCUCGAAAGAGCAGCUAAUACCGCAUACGACCUGAGGGUGAAAGCGGGGGAUCGCAAGACCUCGCGCUAUUGGAGCGGCCGAUAUCAGAUUAGCUAGUUGGUGAGGUAAGGGCUCACCAAGGCGACGAUCUGUAGCUGGUCUGAGAGGACGACCAGCCACACUGGGACGGAGACACGGCCCAGACUCCUACGGGAGGCAGCAGUGGGGAAUUUUGGACAAUGGGCGCAAGCCUGAUCCAGCCAUGCCGCGUGCGGGAAGAAGGCCUUCGGGUUGUAAACCGCUUUUGUCAGGGAAGAAACGGCUCCUACUAAUACUGGGGGCUAAUGACGGUACCUGAAGAAUAAGCACCGGCUAACUACGCGCCAGCCGCCGCCGUAA
Molecule: ribosomal RNA, 500 nt
Filed under: uncultured bacterium
Lineage: Bacteria
Description: partial 16S ribosomal RNA
Rfam family: Bacterial small subunit ribosomal RNA
Source: RNAcentral